Molecule: ribosomal RNA, 462 nt
Filed under: uncultured bacterium
Lineage: Bacteria
Description: partial 16S ribosomal RNA
Rfam family: Bacterial small subunit ribosomal RNA
Source: RNAcentral
GACGAACGCUGGCGGCGUGCUUAACACAUGCAAGUCGAGCGGUAAGGCCUUUCGGGGUACACGAGCGGCGAACGGGUGCGUAACACGUGGGUGAUCUGCCCUGCACCUCGGGAUAAGCCUGGGAAACUGGGUCUAAUACCGGAUAUGACCUCCUAUUGCUUGGUGGGUGGUGGAAAGAUUUAUCGGUGCAGGAUGGGCCCGCGGCCUAUCAGCUUGUUGGUGGGGUAAUGGUCUACCAAGGCGACGACGGGUAGCCGACCUGAGAGGGGGAACGGCCACACUGGGACUGAGGCACGGCCCAGAAUCCUACGGGAGGCAGCAGUGGGGAAUAUUGCACAAUGGGGGAAAGCCUGAUGCAGCGACGCCGGGUGAGGGAUGACGGCCUUCGGGUUGUAAACCUCUUUCAGCAGGGACGAAGCGCAAGUGACGGUACCUGCAGAAGAAGCACCGGCUAACUACGUG